UUCACAAUUCUCUUGGAGCAGCUUUGUGAUGGUAAUUAGUACAAUGCCUUCUAUUUCAGCCAAGAAAUUAAGGUAUUUUGAGACAGUUGGAGAAACCAAGUUUGGCAGCCUGAGACUAGGAUUUCAAUAUCUCCUGAUGAAGAGAAACUGCACUAAGACUUCCACUGUUCCUGAGAAGAUCUGGAAGAAGAGUUCAAUAAUCAAAACAUCAGAAAAUCACUUAUAAACCCACUGGAAACUGCUCUUAUUUCAAAACUGACAGAGGCACCUCUGUCGGCAUCAAAGCAAGCUAUUUAAGCAAUGCUAACAACUGAACUUUGUGAGAAGGCUUAUUCUUUACAGACUUUAAAGUUUAAAGCGACUUUACAGCACAGCAUCUGGAUUGAGCUACUCGGCUGUCUAAUGAGGCCAGUGAGGAGAAGCUGUCCUAAGGCACGAGGAUAUCAGG
Molecule: long non-coding RNA, 448 nt
Filed under: Parus major (Great Tit)
Lineage: Eukaryota; Metazoa; Chordata; Aves; Passeriformes; Paridae
Description: lncRNA (ENSPMJG00000000153.1)
Source: RNAcentral